This is an unclassified non-coding RNA of Cavia aperea (Brazilian guinea pig), 214 nucleotides long. Its record names the gene 7SK. It matches the Rfam family "7SK RNA". Rfam says of the family: 7SK was discovered as an abundant small nuclear RNA in the mid-70s but a possible function has only recently been suggested. The record is from Ensembl. Lineage: Eukaryota; Metazoa; Chordata; Mammalia; Rodentia; Caviidae.
GGGUGUGUGGGUGACUGGGCUGUGACAUCUGUCACUACAUUGAUUGCCCAGGUUGAUCUGCUUGUGUUGGCCAGGCAGGUGUCCCCUUCUUCCGUGCCUCGUGCGCCAUUUCCUGAGCUGCACACUCUGCUGAAGAGGAGCCCACCAAGGAUAUGAGACUGUGCUCCCAUGAGGACCUCCAAACAAGCUCUCAAAUAGACUUUGGUUUUUGUUU